AACGGGCUGUACCACUGGCCGCUGCGCCCUCGCGAGACGCCGCAAUGUGGCGCGAGGGCUAAGUGCCCAAUGAUUGGCCGUGGGGCGGGGCUCCAGGAGGAAAGAGGGCGAAGGGGCUUGGGGUCGCCGCCUAGUUUGUGCGUCGUGCGACCGGUGCUACCUUCCGGAAGGCUUUUUUCCCGUCUGGUUGUGCAUCCACCUCCGUCUUUCCCAGGGUCGGGAGCAUGUGGUCCGCUCUGAGCCACGGGUGUAACUCAGAGGACUUGAGACCUCGAGUUCUUUAGUUUCCAGCUGAGGAAGACGCAUUUUAGUUGAGACUAGUCACAUUUCCAAUGCUGAGAAGCAGGCCUUGGCCAGUGUGGCUGCAGGUGCCUGAGGAGUGCAGAGUGGCAUAAGACGCAGCGGAAGAGACAGGAUCCAGUCCAGGACACUACAUUGCAUUAGUUGUUACAUCUCCAUAGUCUCCACUGGUUCAUGAUAGUUUCCCAGUUUUGUUUUUCAUGACCUUGAUGUUUUGAGCAGUACUGAAUCAGGUGGAGGAGGAACACCCUGACAUUCAUCUCCCGGGGAAUGGUCUCUCUACCCUGCACCCACAUGGUGAAGCACUAUAGAAGAUUCUCCCCAUGGGUCAGCUUCUCUCCAGUGCCAGACUCCUCAAAGAAACGAUACCACCCAAAUCAUCUUGCAAACCACAUGGAAAAUUGUGUUUCGGUGAUCUUUAUACAUGCAUCUUGUGCCUAUUGCUGAAGAAUGGACACUUUGAAGUGAUACUUCAUUUGAAGUGGUCAAAUGGGCAAAGGAAACAUCCUAUUGACAGCCACAAGCUUUCAUAAUUGCAUUCCCGUGACAAUGAACACAUUUCUACCAGGUCAAGCUUGCCUACCUGAUCCUGUCUUCUCAAUAUCUUCUUUGAACAACUUCAUGUGGUUGAAUUCCUGGCAGUGCAAUCAUGCUAUUUAUCAAAAGAAACACUGGACAAGCACAGUGGACUUCAGCGCUGUGUCCUGAGCCAUCAUCUGGCCAACUCUCGGCAAGAAACUUCUUUGUUCUUUAGAGACUGAGCUCUAUCCCCAAGCACUAACAGAAUCGAGAUGGAAGAAGUUGGAAUUCUUCAUCUUGGUGCUGUGACACAGUGAGGUUCCUGCUCCCAGGAAGCUGAACCCUGGCCUUGAGAUACAUGUCCAACAGAAGAUGAAGCACAAGCCCAGAGGAGCAAGAGGAAAGACAACACAAGUCCUUGUUCCAGUUGUUCCCAGGUUCAGUGCCAGAUUUCUUUUCUUGAAUUGUGUAAGACACUCUGCUAUCCUGAUUUUCCCCUUUUUGAUUCAACUAGUUCAAGUUGGGUUUCUAUCACAUGCAACCAAGCAAUUCCUGACUAAUGCAGUCACCCUCACUGCUGCCCUAUAUGAGCUCUUCAAUAAAUUCGGUCUCUUCAUCCUACUUUCUUUUCUUUUCUUUUUUUCUUUUUAAGAUUUUAUUCUUAAAUAAUCUCUACACCCAUUGUGGGGCUUGAACUUAUAACCCUGAGAUCAAAAGCCACAUGCUCUACCAACUGAACCAGCCAGGCACUCCUCUUCAGCCUACUUUCUAAACCUCUUUUGUGUUCCUGCCUCCAUACCUCUGCCUUGGGAUCGUCACCGUUCCCUCCCCUUAUGGAAGCUCAGUCUUUACCAGCAUCCAGCCCAAGUUCCACUUUCCCUGACUACCUGGGCAAUCUCUCUAUCCUUAGAACUUACAUAGCCUUUGUUCUCUAUAUAUGCUCACUGGCACUUUCACUUUCCCCAAACUAGACCAUAGAGUCCUUGAGCACUGAGGCAAUGUAUCCUACCAUUGUGUCUCUCCAGAGCC
Molecule: long non-coding RNA, 1848 nt
Organism: Leopardus geoffroyi (Geoffroy's cat)
Lineage: Eukaryota; Metazoa; Chordata; Mammalia; Carnivora; Felidae
Exons: 10
Source: RefSeq, a predicted model, not a curated record